AAGAGCUAAACUGGGGUUUGCACCACCCACUGCCGCAGACAGCCCUUCCUCUGGACGCCAGCCCAUCUGCGGGGAAGAGGAAACAGGAACAUUUCCAACACCCUACCCCUGCAGAUCUUAGCUCCCUGACCAGGGAUUGAACCCGCACCCCCUGCAAUGGAAGCGCAGAGUCUUAACCACUGGACCACCAAGGAAGUCCCCACUCAAUUUUCUUUCAUUGAGAUUUAUUUUACAUAAACAACACAAAUUUUAAA
This is a long non-coding RNA of Orcinus orca (killer whale), 254 nucleotides long. RefSeq lists it as uncharacterized. The transcript has 2 exons. The record is from RefSeq and is a predicted model, not a curated record. NCBI's taxonomy places the organism in Eukaryota, Metazoa, Chordata, Mammalia, Artiodactyla, Delphinidae.